Nomascus leucogenys (northern white-cheeked gibbon) is the source of this 2129-nucleotide RNA transcript. It is a transcript of the gene named interleukin 1 receptor antagonist, with no coding region annotated. The transcript has 10 exons. The record is from RefSeq and is a predicted model, not a curated record. NCBI's taxonomy places the organism in Eukaryota, Metazoa, Chordata, Mammalia, Primates, Hylobatidae.
AGCUCCCAUGCAGCCCACAGCCCUAAAGGCUGAUUUCACUCCCACCAUGCCCCACCAACAGCAUUGAGUUUAUUUCCAGGAAGCUGGUGAUCAGGGCUGAGAACUUGCCCCAGGCUACAAGCCUCCCAGCUGAGAAAAGGAGCGAACUCACAGUUCCUCGACUGUUCCAUGGAGCCUGCAGUGGCAGUCCACCUCCUUCAAAGGGUCUGUGGACUUUCUCGGCUUUCCUGGAAUUAGCAGUUCACAAAGCACAUUCACAUAUAAGGGCUUAUUUUGAAUUGAUCUUGGCAGCAAUUCUAUGAGACAAGUAAAAGCAUGAGAGGAAGAGGAACUGCACCUCUUCCUUCAGUUUCAGCUUGAAUAAUAUCAGGAAGAUUCAUAUCGGUCUGAGUUGGGUCACGUACCCGAUGCAUUGUAGCUGUGGAUGGGCUGGCUUGUAUGAAGAAGGAGGUGGAGGAGGAGGAGAAGGUGAAGACAAUGCUGACUAAAAGAGGGGAUUAUAAAACUAAUCAUCAAAGCCAAGAAGGCAAGAGCAAACAUGUACCUCUGAAAACACAAGAUAACUGCAUAAGUAAUGACUUUCAGUGCAGAUCCAUAGCUAACCCAUAAACUGCUGGGGCAAAAAUCAUCUUGGAAGGCUCUGAACCUCAGAAAGGAUUCACAAGACAGUCUGCCGACCCUUUGGGAGAAAAUCCAGCAAGAUGCAAGCCUUCAGAAUCUGGGAUGUUAACCAGAAGACCUUCUACCUGAGGAACAACCAACUAGUUGCUGGAUACUUGCAAGGACCAAAUGUCAAUUUAGAAGAAAAGAUAGAUGUGGUACCCAUUAAGCCUCAUGCUCUAUUCUUGGGAAUCCAUGGAGGGAAGAUGUGCCUGUCCUGUGUCAAGUCUGGUGAUGAGACCAGACUCCAGCUGGAGGCAGUUAACAUCACUGACCUGAGUGAGAACAGAAAGCAGGACAAGCGCUUCACCUUCAUCCGCUCAGACAGCGGCCCCACCACCAGUUUCGAGUCUGCCGCCUGCCCCGGCUGGUUCCUCUGCACAGCGAUGGAAGCUGACCAGCCCGUCAGCCUCACCAAUAUGCCUGACGAGGGCGUCGUGGUCACCAAAUUCUACUUCCAGGAGGACGAGUAGUACUGCCCAGGCCUGCCUGUUUCCAUUCUGGCAUGGCAAGGACUGCAGGGGCUGCCAGUCCCCCUGCCCCAGGGCUUCCGGCUAUGGGGGCACUGAGGACCAGCCAUUGAGAGGUGGACCCUCAGAAAGCGUCACAAGAACCUGGUCACAGGACUCUGCCUCCUCUUCAACUGACCAGCCUCCAUGCUGCCUCCAGAAUGGUCUUUCUAAUGUGUGAAUCAGAGCACAGCAGCCCCUGUGCAAAGCCCUUCCAUGUUGCCUCUGCAUUCAGGAUCAAACCCCGACCACCUGCCCAGCCGCUCUCCUCUCCCCACUGCCUCCUCCUCCCUCAUUCCACGUUCCCAUGCCCCGGAUCCAUCAGGCCACUUGAUGACCCCCCACCAAGUGGCUCCCACACCCUGUUUUACAAAAAAAAAGGCCAGUCCAUGAGGAAGGUUUUUAAGGGUUUGUGGAAAAUGAAAAUUAAGGAUUUCAUGAUUUUUUUUUUAGUCUCCAUGAAGGAGAGCCCUUCAUUUGGAGAUUAUGUUCUUUCUGGGAGAGGCUCGGGGCUUAAAAUAUUCCUGCAUUUGUGAAAUGAUGGUGAAAGCACUGCUGCCCAGGCUCCAAGCUCCAUCUCCACUCCAGAUCUUUUACAGCUGCCUGCAGUACUUUACCUCCUAUCAGAAGUUUCUCAGCUCCCAAGGCUCUGAGCAAAUGUGGCUCCUGGGGAUUCUUUCCUCCUCUGCUGAAGGAAUGAAUUGCUCCUUGACAUUAUAGAGCUUCUGGCACUUGGAGACUUGUAUGAAAGAUGGCUAUGCCUCUGCCUGUCUCCCCCACCAAGCUGGGAGCUCUGCAGAGCAGGAAACAUGACUCCUGUAUGUCUCAGGUCCCUGCAGGGCCAAGCACCUAACCUUGCUCUUGGCAGGUACUCAGUGAAUGAAUGCUGUAUAUGUUGGGUGCAAAGUUCCCUACCUCCUGUGACUUCAGCUCCGUUUUACAAUAAAAUCUUGAAAAUGC